Zea mays is the source of this 1559-nucleotide long non-coding RNA. RefSeq lists it as uncharacterized. The transcript is spliced from 6 exons. The record is from RefSeq and is a predicted model, not a curated record. NCBI's taxonomy places the organism in Eukaryota, Viridiplantae, Streptophyta, Magnoliopsida, Poales, Poaceae.
ACCCCGCGCGACCGUGCCUAUGGCCGCCACCGCUACGCUCCAGGUGACCUCCCGCGGUUCCACCUUUCUCUCCCUUCCUCCUCCCAUCGCAUCCCCAGUCUAUCUAUCCUCUCCGCCCACCUCUACCGUAGCAGCGCGCCACCACCUCCGCGUACUAUGUCUGGAUCUCUGAGCCCACCUCCAUCGAGGAGCGCCGCCGUCUCCUGCUCCAACGGCUUCACCUACCCGUCGCCUUCCCCGACUCACAGCUCGCCUCUACCUCCUGCUCCAGCGACGUUCAACGCUGCCGGUAUGGGCGAUCUUCGUCGCUCUGGUGGACCACGUGACGGCGGUGGCGGAUAGCAACUCAACUAGGAAGUACUUCGCCACGACGGUGAUGGACUUCCAGCAACGGUUCGCGUUGGAGUCCGUUGCUGGCAUCUCGCGAGAUGCCCCGACCCAUCAUCCAUUUCACGCGCCAGCAAGAAAGUAGAUAAGAACACAUUGCAUUUUCAGUUUUUGAUGUCGAACACAAUCGUUCAGCUCUACUUUCUCUGCAAGUAACCACAAUACUUUAUUGCCCAUAUGCAUGAUCUUGGUCGUGUGAAUUUCAUAGAGCUUUCAACCAUACAUCUUCUUGUCAUCUGUUCUGCACUUUAAACAGAAGAUGUCUCGUCCUGGAUAACUUUGGGAAGCCAGCCAUCAUAGCCCCAGACAGCAUAAACCCAUGGUGGUCGCUCCUUGAAGAAGCUGUGAAGAGUGCUGGCAACAAGCUUGGCAAGUUAGAGAUAUUCCCAGCCUCUACUAACUCUUGCUACUUCCGGCAGAUCAGAUUACCAGCAUUUGGUUUUUCAUCUAUGACGAACACCCCGAUACUGCUCCAUGAGACCAUGACCAUAAUGUGGUUUGUGUCAUUGGUUUUGGUUUGGCCUUCUGACGCCAUUAAGGACCACAGUGACGGUUCAGAUAGCCAUAGAUUCAGAUGAAACAGGACAUCUUUAGGACUGCAGUGACGCUUCAGAUACCCACAGAUUCAGAUAAAACAUGGCAUAUGUAGUCAUAGUGCUCUCCUUCUAUUUCCUGUCACUUGAUGACCUGUUUCACAAAGCUCAAUUCAUAUUAAAAAGGAUACUCUGCAUUCUCCUCAUCUUUAAGUACGGUGAUCCAUAUUUUUAUAAACAUUGUCUUGGAAAGCUGGAAGGUGCUAUACAUUAUCCAUGUGUUAGGUGGGCAAGUCAUCUUACGCCAAUGAGAAGCUUAGGUUGAAGUCAAUGCCUUGGCACAACUAAUGACAUGGAAAACAACGGUCUAGGUUAACAUGGGCUUCAGAUUGCAUUGCUGGGAAAGAUGAAAUGGAAUUCAAAUUUUGGUGGCCGCACAAGUGUGAAGACUUGAAUUCAUAUAUAUACUUAGUUAGGCUCAACGUUAGCACAAACAGUUGAUGACCAAAAUUUUCAAUUAGUAUUUUAGUUUGGAUUUAGAGUACACUUAUGUAUAAGUUAUUUGAUAAUUGCUUGUUUAUGAGAUAUUGAAUGAUACUUGUCUAUAUUAUAUUAAUUAUAAUGUUAUUACAUAUAUGU